This is a long non-coding RNA of Nanorana parkeri, 194 nucleotides long. RefSeq lists it as uncharacterized. The record is from RefSeq and is a predicted model, not a curated record. Lineage: Eukaryota; Metazoa; Chordata; Amphibia; Anura; Dicroglossidae. The transcript has 2 exons.
UUUAAUAAACCUCAGAACAAAGUCUAUGUAACGUGGAAACACGAAUCCCUGGAUGAGCCGGAGACCAGAACACUGACUGUAAGAGAUCUGCCCUGGCGCCCACAAGUCGGAGAGAUCGUCAUUCCCAACCUGGAAGAAGAUAAGAAGGCCGAUCUGACCUGUAACAUCUCCGGAUAUUUCCCAGAUCAUCUGAA